AAGGCGUAAACCCGAAAAGCCUGAGAAAGAGUAGGGA
Arsenicibacter rosenii is the source of this 37-nucleotide regulatory RNA element. It matches the Rfam family "DUF805b RNA". Rfam says of the family: Bacteroidetes, Chlorobi (1 example), Proteobacteria. Lineage (Flavobacteria) The record is from Rfam. Lineage: Bacteria; Pseudomonadati; Bacteroidota; Cytophagia; Cytophagales; Spirosomataceae.